RNAcentral lists this ribosomal RNA (275 nucleotides) under uncultured bacterium. RNAcentral describes it as "partial 16S ribosomal RNA". It matches the Rfam family "Bacterial small subunit ribosomal RNA", at positions 338 to 630 of the family's 1533-position model. The record is from RNAcentral.
CCUACGGGUGGCUGCAGUGGGGAAUCUUGCGCAAUGGGGGCAACCCUGACGCAGCCAUACCGCGUGAGUGAUGAAGGUCUUCGGAUUGUAAAGCUCUUUCGGCGGGGACGACGAUGACGGUACCCGCAAAAGAAGUCACGGCUAACUUCGUGCCAGCAGCCGCGGUAAUACGAAGGUGGCGAAUGUUGCUCGGAUUCACUGGGCGUAAAGCGUCUGUAGGUGGCUUGUUAAGUUAGAGGUGAAAGCCCCGCGCUCAACGUGGGAACUGCCUUUAA